RNAcentral lists this transfer RNA (73 nucleotides) under Cordylochernes scorpioides. Its description in RNAcentral is "tRNA-Thr". The record is from RNAcentral. Lineage: Eukaryota; Metazoa; Arthropoda; Arachnida; Pseudoscorpiones; Chernetidae.
GUCCAGGGGCGGGAAUCGAACCCACAACCUUCUGCUUACCGGGCAGGUGCCAUCUCCACUAGGCUACCCUGGA